AUUGAACGCUGGCGGCAGGCCUAACACAUGCAAGUCGAGCGGAAACGAGUUAUCUGAACCUUCGGGGAACGAUAACGGCGUCGAGCGGCGGACGGGUGAGUAAUGCCUAGGAAAUUGCCUUGAUGUGGGGGAUAACCAUUGGAAACGAUGGCUAAUACCGCAUAAUGCCUACGGGCCAAAGAGGGGGACCUUCGGGCCUCUCGCGUCAAGAUAUGCCUAGGUGGGAUUAGCUAGUUGGUGAGGUAAUGGCUCACCAAGGCGACGAUCCCUAGCUGGUCUGAGAGGAUGAUCAGCCACACUGGAACUGAGACACGGUCCAGACUCCUACGGGAGGCAGCAGUGGGGAAUAUUGCACAAUGGGCGCAAGCCUGAUGCAGCCAUGCCGCGUGUAUGAAGAAGGCCUUCGGGUUGUAAAGUACUUUCAGCAGUGAGGAAGGGGGUGUCGUUAAUAGCGGCAUUUCUUGACGUUUAGCUUGCAGAAGAAGC
Molecule: ribosomal RNA, 486 nt
Filed under: uncultured bacterium
Lineage: Bacteria
Description: bacterial SSU rRNA
Rfam family: Bacterial small subunit ribosomal RNA
Source: RNAcentral